GUUAAAGAAGUCUACUCAUUUCUCUUUUGCUUCAGUUUAUUCCUUAUCGUUUUCAUACUUCUGUUUCUUGCUUACUUACAGGUUUAUUUUGACUACUUGUGCUCCUUGUUGGAAAAGACUUUUUUCAGGUAGACUUCUAAAAGUCAGAAGUUCAAGUCCAGUUACUGCUGCAGUUAUACAGCAGUGUUUGGAAUGUUUGCAGCCAUAUAAGCAACGAGUUUCUUCUUGGUGUGUGGUUUCAGCACAGCAUGGUUGUGGUCAUCCACUUGCAAGGUCUUCUGAUUGUGGUGGGGACCAUGGACUUCUCUGGAUUGACCAUUCCUGAUGGGGGCGUGCAUAUUGUAGGGGGUGAGCUGGGGGAAUAAAAUC
This 369-nucleotide long non-coding RNA is filed under the name Athene cunicularia (burrowing owl). Its description in RNAcentral is "lncRNA (ENSACUG00000011793.1)". Lineage: Eukaryota; Metazoa; Chordata; Aves; Strigiformes; Strigidae. The record is from RNAcentral.